GAUGAAGAACGUAGCGAAAUGCGAUAAGUAAUGUGAAUUGCAGAAUUCAGUGAAUCAUCGAAUCUUUGAACGCACAUUGCGCCCUCUGGUAUUCCGGGGGCAUGCCUGUUCGAGCGUCAUUAUAACCCCUCAAGCUCAGCUUGGUGUUGGGGCCUGCUGCACUGGCAGCCCUUAAAAUCAGUGGCGGCGCCAUCUGGCUCUAAGCGUAGUAAUUCUUCUCGCUAUGGAGUCCUGGUGGAUGCUUGCCAUCAACCCCCAAUUUUUCUAUGGUUGACCUCGGAUCAGGUAGGGAUACCCGCUGAACUUAAGCAUAUCAAUAAGCGGAGGA
RNAcentral lists this unclassified non-coding RNA (328 nucleotides) under soil metagenome. RNAcentral describes it as "partial contains 5.8S ribosomal RNA, internal transcribed spacer 2, and large subunit ribosomal RNA". The stretch from base 1 to 119 matches the Rfam family "5.8S ribosomal RNA", at positions 35 to 154 of the family's 154-position model. The record is from RNAcentral.